CAUCUCAAAAAGCAAAAAAAAAUCAAUUUAAAGUCAUAACAUUUUUAAAAGAUGAAGGAGAAUUUGUGGCACAGCUGCAUUAACCAAACAAGACACCAAUCUAAAGUGCAACACUAAACAGGUGUUCUCUCUUCCCAUGGUGGAAUAAAUACACACAAUUACACAUAAAAUUUCACUGAAGAUAUGAGAUGAGGCAAAUAACCCUUUGAAAUGAACCACCCAAGGAAUAGAGACAGGCUAAAAAUAAUUUCUUUUAAGAUUUUACUGCAAGAUGGACCCCCCACCCCCCCUCCAGCCCAGGUGAGUACUAACUCAAACACCUCAUUUUAUGUGCAUGGCUUUGGCUUCUGUCUUCUUUCCUCAGCCACAUCCAAAUCCAGAAAGGCUUCUGUACCCUGUGCUCAAAAACGCAACCUCGGCCAGGUGUGAGCUACAAUGCCGGGAUGCAUCAUUUCUUUAAACAAUGGCUUUAACUGUUGAAUGAGCUCUGACAAGCCAUAUGCCAUUUCAUGAGCAAGCCAAAAUACUGUCUUCAUAUCUGUCUGUUUUUCUUGCAAACAUGUAUCAUCCGAGUAAAAAAAAAAAAAAAAAAAAA
This 595-nucleotide non-coding RNA is filed under the name Pongo abelii (Sumatran orangutan). Lineage: Eukaryota; Metazoa; Chordata; Mammalia; Primates; Hominidae. The record is from RNAcentral.